Molecule: ribosomal RNA, 1735 nt
Filed under: Micrococcus luteus
Lineage: Bacteria; Bacillati; Actinomycetota; Actinomycetes; Micrococcales; Micrococcaceae
Description: bacterial SSU rRNA
Rfam family: Bacterial small subunit ribosomal RNA
Source: RNAcentral
UGCAGUCGACGAUGAAGCCCAGCUUGCUGGGUGGAUUAGUGGCGAACGGGUGAGUAACACGUGAGUAACCUGCCCUUAACUCUGGGAUAAGCCUGGGAAACUGGGUCUAAUACCGGAUAGGAGCGUCCACCGCAUGGUGGGUGUUGGAAAGAUUUAUCGGUUUUGGAUGGACUCGCGGCCUAUCAGCUUGUUGGUGAGGUAAUGGCUCACCAAGGCGACGACGGGUAGCCGGCCUGAGAGGGUGACCGGCCACACUGGGACUGAGACACGGCCCAGACUCCUACGGGAGGCAGCAGUGGGGAAUAUUGCACAAUGGGCGCAAGCCUGAUGCAGCGACGCCGCGUGAGGGAUGACGGCCUUCGGGUUGUAAACCUCUUUCAGUAGGGAAGAAGCGAAAGUGACGGUACCUGCAGAAGAAGCACCGGCUAACUACGUGCCAGCAGCCGCGGUAAUACGUAGGGUGCGAGCGUUAUCCGGAAUUAUUGGGCGUAAAGAGCUCGUAGGCGGUUUGUCGCGUCUGUCGUGAAAGUCCGGGGCUUAACCCCGGAUCUGCGGUGGGUACGGGCAGACUAGAGUGCAGUAGGGGAGACUGGAAUUCCUGGUGUAGCGGUGGAAUGCGCAGAUAUCAGGAGGAACACCGAUGGCGAAGGCAGGUCUCUGGGCUGUAACUGACGCUGAGGAGCGAAAGCAUGGGGAGCGAACAGGAUUAGAUACCCUGGUAGUCCAUGCCGUAAACGUUGGGCACUAGGUGUGGGGACCAUUCCACGGUUUCCGCGCCGCAGCUAACGCAUUAAGUGCCCCGCCUGGGGAGUACGGCCGCAAGGGCUAAAACUCAAAGGAAUUGACGGGGUUCGUAGGCGGUUUGUCGCGUCUGUCGUGAAAGUUCCGGGGGCUUAAACCCCGGAUUCUGCGGUGGGUACGGGCAGACUAGAGUGCAGUAGGGGAGACUGGAAUUCCUGGUGUAGCGGUGGAAUGCGCAGAUAUCAGGAGGAACACCGAUGGCGAAGGCAGGUCUCUGGGCUGUAACUGACGCUGAGGAGCGAAAGCAUGGGGAGCGAACAGGAUUAGAUACCCUGGUAGUCCAUGCCGUAAACGUUGGGCACUAGGUGUGGGGACCAUUCCACGGUUUCCGCGCCGCAGCUAACGCAUUAAGUGCCCCGCCUGGGGAGUACGGCCGCAAGGCUAAAACUCAAAGGAAUUGACGGGGGCCCGCACAAGCGGCGGAGCAUGCGGAUUAAUUCGAUGCAACGCGAAGAACCUUACCAAGGCUUGACAUGUUCUCGAUCGCCGUAGAGAUACGGUUUCCCCUUUGGGGUGGGUUCACAGGUGGUGCAUGGUUGUCGUCAGCUCGUGUCGUGAGAUGUUGGGUUAAGUCCCGCAACGAGCGCAACCCUCGUUCCAUGUUGCCAGCACGUCGUGGUGGGGACUCAUGGGAGACUGCCGGGGUCAACUCGGAGGAAGGUGAGGACGACGUCAAAUCAUCAUGCCCCUUAUGUCUUGGGCUUCACGCAUGCUACAAUGGCCGGUACAAUGGGUUGCGAUACUGUGAGGUGGAGCUAAUCCCAAAAAGCCGGUCUCAGUUCGGAUUGGGGUCUGCAACUCGACCCCAUGAAGUCGGAGUCGCUAGUAAUCGCAGAUCAGCAACGCUGCGGUGAAUACGUUCCCGGGCCUUGUACACACCGCCCGUCAAGUCACGAAAGUUGGUAACACCCGAAGCCGGUGGCCUAACCCUUGU